GACGGAGGAUGCAAGUGUUAUCCGGAAUUACUGGGCGUAAAGCGCGCGUAGGCGGCUUUGCAAGUCGAGUGUGAAAUCCCCAGGCUUAACCUGGGAACUGCAUUCGAGACUGCAUAGCUAGAGUAUGGGAGAGGGAAGUGGAAUUUCAGGUGUAGCGGUGAAAUGCGUAGAUAUCUGAAGGAACAUCAGUGGCGAAAGCGACUUCCUGGACCAAUACUGACGCUCAUGUGCGAAAGCGUGGGGAGCAAACAGG
Molecule: ribosomal RNA, 253 nt
Filed under: uncultured bacterium
Lineage: Bacteria
Description: partial 16S ribosomal RNA
Rfam family: Bacterial small subunit ribosomal RNA
Source: RNAcentral